AUUGAACGCUGGCGGCAUGCCUUACACAUGCAAGUCGAACGGCAGCACGGGAGCAAUCCUGGUGGCGAGUGGCGAACGGGUGAGUAAUACAUCGGAACGUGCCCUGUAGUGGGGGAUAACUAGUCGAAAGACUAGCUAAUACCGCAUACGACCUGAGGGUGAAAGUGGGGACCGCAAGGCCUCAUGCUAUAGGAGCGGCCGAUGUCUGAUUAGCUAGUUGGUGGGGUAAAGGCCUACCAAGGCGACGAUCAGUAGCUGGUCUGAGAGGACGAUCAGCCACACUGGGACUGAGACACGGCCCAGGACACCUACGGGAGGCUG
RNAcentral lists this ribosomal RNA (321 nucleotides) under uncultured Pseudomonadota bacterium. RNAcentral describes it as "bacterial SSU rRNA". It matches the Rfam family "Bacterial small subunit ribosomal RNA", at positions 30 to 351 of the family's 1533-position model. Lineage: Bacteria; Pseudomonadati; Pseudomonadota. The record is from RNAcentral.